GUGGGGAAUCUUAGACAAUGGGCGCAAGCCUGAUCUAGCCAUGCCGCGUGAGCGAUGAAGGCCUUAGGGUUGUAAAGCUCUUUCGUGGGGGAAGAUAAUGACUGUACCCCAAGAAGAAGCCCCGGCUAACUCCGUGCCAGCAGCCGCGGUAAUACGGAGGGGGCUAGCGUUGUUCGGAAUUACUGGGCGUAACGCGCACUAUGGCGGACUGAAAAGUCAGGGGUGAAAUACCGGGGCUCAAACCCGGAACUGCCUUUGAAACUCCCAGUCUUGAGGUCGAGAGAGGUGAGUGGAAUUCCGAGUGUAGAGGUGAAAUUCGUAGAUAUUCGGAGGAACACCAGUGGCGAAGGCGGCUCACUGGCUCGAUACUGACGCUGAGGUGCGAAAGCGUGGGGAGCAAACAGGAUUAGAAACCCUUGUAGUCC
This 425-nucleotide ribosomal RNA is filed under the name uncultured bacterium. RNAcentral describes it as "partial 16S ribosomal RNA". It matches the Rfam family "Bacterial small subunit ribosomal RNA", at positions 354 to 796 of the family's 1533-position model. The record is from RNAcentral.